GAUGAACGCUGGCGGCGCGCCUAACACAUGCAAGUCGAACGAGCGAGAGAGAGCUUGCUUUCUCGAGCGAGUGGCGAACGGGUGAGUAACGCGUGAGGAACCUGCCUCAAAGAGGGGGACAACAGUUGGAAACGACUGCUAAUACCGCAUAAGCCCACGGGUCGGCAUCGACCAGAGGGAAAAGGAGCAAUCCGCUUUGAGAUGGCCUCGCGUCCGAUUAGCUAGUUGGUGAGGUAAUGGCCCACCAAGGCGACGAUCGGUAGCCGGACUGAGAGGUUGAACGGCCACAUUGGGACUGAGACACGGCCCAGACUCCUACGGGAGGCAGCAGUGGGGAAUAUUGCACAAUGGGGGAAACCCUGAUGCAGCGACGCCGCGUGGAGGAAGAAGGUCUUCGGAUUGUAAACUCCUGUUGUUGGGGAAGAUAAUGACGGUACCCAACAAGGAAGUGACGGCUAACUACGUG
This 466-nucleotide ribosomal RNA is filed under the name uncultured bacterium. Its description in RNAcentral is "partial 16S ribosomal RNA". It matches the Rfam family "Bacterial small subunit ribosomal RNA", at positions 28 to 507 of the family's 1533-position model. The record is from RNAcentral.